This 253-nucleotide ribosomal RNA is filed under the name uncultured bacterium. RNAcentral's name for it is "partial 16S ribosomal RNA". It matches the Rfam family "Bacterial small subunit ribosomal RNA", at positions 524 to 776 of the family's 1533-position model. The record is from RNAcentral.
UACGUAGGGUGCAAGCGUUAAUCGGAAUUACUGGGCGUAAAGCGUGCGCAGGCGGUUAUGCAAGACAGAUGUGAAAUCCCCGGGCUUAACCUGGGAACCGCAUUUGUGACUGCAUAGCUGGAGUACGGCAGAGGGGGAUGGAAUUCCGCGUGUAGCAGUGAAAUGCGUAGAUAUGCGGAGGAACACCGAUGGCGAAGGCAGUCCCCUGGGCCAGCACUGACGCUCAUGCACGAAAGCGUGGGGAGCAAACAGG